UUGUGUAAAGGGAGAAGGGGGGAGGCUACGGAGAAGUUUUCUUGCGGGGAGCCACUAGAUGAGAAAAACAGAAUGAGUGAAUGACAGAACUUCACAGAGCGAUUUUUUUCCCCUGAGCGCUUUUUUCCACGUAUACCUUUUCGGACAUGUACACAGAAGGCGGACAAGCGACAGCACACAGGCGAUUCAUCCAUGGCCCGUGCCCCUGCCAACGCUGUGACCAGCGCGGCGGGCUGAGGUACCAACCAGCGUUGAGCAAACAGGCUGACCACCAACAUCUGGAAAGCCGAAGAGACAUUCAGUCUCCUCGGGUUAAGGACGAAGGAUGGAGGACGCCCAGAGAAGACCGAGGCAGUCACUGUAGCCCUCAGAGAUGGCCUCGGUUCCUGGGGUCUGGCCCCUUACACCAGUCUAACGACCUGCCCCGACUUUGUCGUCCAUGUGAGUUGAACUCUUCCAGGUGGGAUUAUUUGCCAGAAGCCAGCGUGACACACUGUCCGUCUUUCAGAGAGUGUGUGGUGGCGCACAGCCACUCCAAGGCACACCUCUUUAAUGGCGGGAUUCCACACCCACUCCCUCAUUUACGGGUCAAAGGACAAGGGUGUGGCUAUAGUAGGACGGUCCAAUAUGAUGUAUUUGUCGGCAACAAAGAGGAAGGAUGUGCACAUUUCGCCGGAAAUGACCAUUUGAAGCAAAAUAAUCCCAGUUUGGAACAAUUACUUGUAGCUAAUGGGCAUUGUGGACCAAAGCCUGGACCCUCCAAAGGAAAAGAGGGAAGCAAUACCAAUCAGGACUCAGGUAAUUCACCGGAGAACUGUAAUGGACACUCCCACAAAAGUUUCUUCGCAACUGAAGUCCCACAGAAACACUUUAACCAAAAGAAGGGGCCUUCUGCUCGACCCCCAGCCAUCAUCAACUCGGACGUUGACCAGAACCAGCACCAAGGUGUGGGUUUGGCAAAGCAAACGAGAGGGCAUGACGUGGUGAAGGAUCAGAUCCGACAAGUGGUGACAAAUCUAGAGGACGUCUUGGGAGGUUUAAAGCAAGUUCACGUGGAGAUGAAAGAGGUCAUCAAGCAGAUCGAUUAUCUCACGGCCAGCAUCGACCUCAGCGAGAAACCACCCAGCAUCACUCGCGGGUCUUCCAAUAAUAUUCCCGCCUCUACUCAUCAAAGAGAACUCAGGACGUCCCCUCCGCCUGAUCACAAGCACAUCCUGGUCGAGGGGUCAAGGCAUUCGGACGAAGAACGCAUCACCUUACGAACCAACUCCCCGUCGCCCAUUCAUAUGGCGUCUGUGGUCAAAACCCGCUGCUUCACCCCACCCGACCACAGCAAGGACGUCAAACACGAGAGAUCCAAUGUGAACGGGCACCCUGCAAACCACAAAGCGGACACCUCAGAGCUCCAUUCGCUGAACCUACAUUCCAAAGUUGUCAUCAGGAACAGCACGGUCCAUUCAAGAACACAAAAGCCUCCGCCGCACCCGCAAAAUGGACGGUGCGGCAACACUUCAAACCCCGUGAGGACCCUUGAAUACGCCUGGAAAGGCCACCAGAACGGCAGCAUAGUGUGAAGAAGGGGACAGAGAGUGCGGUGGUUGUCUGCCCCGGUGCCAUGGGGGGGCUGAAACAUGAGACCCUUCUGCAGUGAGUGGGGGUCAGAGUACGAGCAAGCAGGGGCACAACUCAUGCAGGAGCUGACGCCACUCAGACGUUGCAGCUGUCAGUCGGAAACGGAACAUGGUCCGAGGGUGGAGGAUGUUUCACCCUACAGAAACCUCGCACGGGGGCUCAAGCGUGGAAGUGAUUUUUUUUGGUUCUGGAACUGGCAGAUAACACGACGAAUACACUGCAACCAGAACGCGUCUGAUGACACGUUCCCGCAGCGAGAUACGCCAACGCAACUGGAGUUGGCGGGAAAAAACGUGCCGCAACAUGUCCGGCCUUUGUAGGGGCAUUAAUUAAUUUUCUGUACCAUUAAUUCUGGGCAUAGAGCGAGAGGGGGCACACUGUGGACUGAUUCAACCAGAAAACGUGAUUAAAUUACGUUGGAUGGUCCAUUACUGCAACAAAAGGGAAUAAUUUUUAGACAUCAUCUCGAGUCGUUAGCUCAUCCUUGCACAUACAGGGGACGGCGUGGCGCAGUUGGCAGCAACCUGAGGGUUCCUGGUUCGAUCCCCACCUACCACCAACUUUGUCACGUUCGUUGUGUCCUUGAGCAAGACGCUCCUGGUGGGUCACGGUCGGGGCCUCGCACGGCAGCUCCCGCCAUCAGUGUGUGAAUGAACGGGUGAAUGUGGAAAUAGUGUCAAAGCGCUUUGAGUACCUUGAAGGUAGAAAAGCGCUCUACGAGUAUAACCCAUUUACAGUGAGCUAGCACACGUGGUACAUUGCACAAAAAAAUAACCGCAAACUCAGGUUUUAAUUUUCCAAAAGGUUGCACCUUCAUUUUGUGUAUGGGGAAAAACUACCGGGCACAGUGGCUGUUACGUAUUUAGGGUCAAAACUUUGUAAUUAUUUUAUUUAGGCACUAAGGCAAUGAUUUGUAACAGACAAUCAAGGCUAUAAACCAGGGGUGUCAAUCUCAUUUUAGCUCAUUAUGGAGGAAAAUGUGUACACAGUGUUAUGAUCCGUGGCCCGUUUAAUGUUUUGUUAUUUUCUGUUAGUUUUCGACUCCCUCAGUUCCUGUUUUUGUGCACCUUUGAGUUUGUUUUAUUUAAGCCUGCCUCUGUCGGUCAGUCGGCCUGGCUUUACGCAACCGGUUACGUGAGUAUUCCUUGUCUUCUAGUCUAUGCUAAGUGUUAGCCUUAGCAGUGCGAUCGGCACCUUUUUUUUGUUUUUGGUACUUGUUUGAUUUCGAAGAAUAAAUCAUGUUCCUACCUGCACGCCUUGUCCGGAGUGGUCCGUCUGCAUCCCGGGGGAACGAACCAUGCAGUAAGCUGCGACCCCCUCGCCGUAACAGAAUGAAGCCAGGUUGACUGACAGGCAAAGGCAGGCUUAAAUAAUGCCUCUGAUUAGUGCUCGGGAAACAGGUGAGCGCCCCGAACACCAAUCAGAGACAGGUGGAAACAAUAAGCAACCAUGGUAACUAAAAACAAACUCAAGGGUGCACAAAAACAGGAACUGUGGGAGUCUAAAACUAACAGAAAAUAACAAAACAUGAUCCGGGCCACGGAUCAUAACACACAGGCGGGCCAGAAUAUUAAAAAACGUGGCGUUAAAACUAAAAAAUAAAGACAACUUCAGAUUGUUUUCUUUGGCCAAAAACAGAACAAACACAUUCUGAAAAGAUUACAAUAAAAAUAUAGAAAAAAAGAUUAGAGUUUAGAUCCAUGAAGGAAAGAAGAAAGUGAAUGAAUGUUUAUAACUGAAUAAAUGUACAUAUGCAUAAAAAUGUGUCUUCCUUUGUAUUUUUUUUUUUUUAUGAAUUAAGUAAUGUUUAUGACAACCUUUUUCCAAAACACAAUAUAGAAUGUGAGAUAUAACAGGGGGACGGCGUGGCGAAGUU
This is an RNA transcript of Entelurus aequoreus (snake pipefish), 3508 nucleotides long. RefSeq lists it as uncharacterized. The transcript has 3 exons. Lineage: Eukaryota; Metazoa; Chordata; Actinopteri; Syngnathiformes; Syngnathidae. The record is from RefSeq and is a predicted model, not a curated record.